Molecule: long non-coding RNA, 1319 nt
Organism: Amphimedon queenslandica
Lineage: Eukaryota; Metazoa; Porifera; Demospongiae; Haplosclerida; Niphatidae
Exons: 7
Source: RefSeq, a predicted model, not a curated record
UUUAACAGGCUUAGUCUUUAUAAUUUUUACUUCCCUGAAAGUUUUGCACAUGCACAUCACAAGCUUAGUUGACCACACACCCUAAUCACCACUCCCCUCUCAUAAUUGCCCCCUCAAAAAUUAAAUCCUAGAUCCGCCCCAUGAUCAUGAUUAUAGUAAGGAAAUAUGCACUUGUGUGGACAUGUAUAUUUCUUCUUAUUUUGUGUGUAUCCUAUGCUUGCUAACCUAUGCCAUUGUUGCAUAAACAGCUCUAAUGUAAAUCUGCAUGCUGUAUAAGCUUAACCACGAAAAGGUGUGCUAUUAUAGUGAAUAUAGCACACGUAAAAAAUUUGGGACAAAAUUCCAUGUUAAUUUGACACAUGUUUUUUUGUGUGUAUAUUAAUGCUUGAGACUAUCAUGUGAUCUUUAUUAAUGCAGGGGGUGGAGCCAGUCCUCAGGCCUAAUUGUUUCCCAUUGUUUUCUCAGCUGGAUACAGAGCAGCUGGUGACAUUGAAAGGGAAAACUGUCAUUGAUUAUACUCACUGAGUGUUAAACUAUUGUCAUUAGUUUUUGAAUUAGCUCGUAACUCAACCACUUACAUGUACCAGCUGGUACACAUAAGCUCAUUAUAUCUCAUAUACUGGGGAGUGGUUUAAUGGGCAGGAUUGUAUUAUCAUCAAAAUUAGGUGACAUGUCGUGCUAUGUUGCUAGAGUUUUUAAAGAGGCUGAAGGUCGUGUGAUCAGUGACUCCGCCCUAUUGUACCCCCACUAUAAUAACGGAUUGGUAAUAGUGUAUUAUGAUAAGAAUGGGAAUGGAAUAACAAGGAAUGAAGAACAGGAACCAAAAAGUACCAAUUUAAUUGUCAUUUAUAAGGUUUCUGAGAGAUACUAUUUAUUAGCCGAUUUGUCAUGUCGGAACUGGUUGAUCCUGCCCACUAAUGAGGACAAACCAGUUUAUCUGGUUUCUGAUAGUUCACUAUCAGUGUCAGCUUUCCUUAUAUCACAGGAGGAUUUUUAGAAAAAGAUCAUCUUCUAGUGUAUAGCACUGAGUGAACUCAUAAAGUUUCAAAAUUAACGGACCAGUUAACUACCAGUAUGCAGCUGUUGAUAUGGGAGAUUAUGGUUAAACCUUACAUGAAGAAAAUUCCUACAUGUAUUUCUUACAUGAUGUGCGGUCAGUCCUGAUGAGGUGUCAUCUCUAUAAGCCUUACAUGUGAGUUGUUACUAAUAAUAUAGUACAUGUAAAACUGAUUAUUGACAUCUCAAUAUGAUAACGUGUGGUUUAGUAGCGUAAGACACUUAUGAUGCACAAAAUAACAAUAGCAGUGCUAGUAAACAUG